RNA transcript from Brachypodium distachyon (stiff brome), 6534 nucleotides. RefSeq lists it as uncharacterized. The record is from RefSeq and is a predicted model, not a curated record. Lineage: Eukaryota; Viridiplantae; Streptophyta; Magnoliopsida; Poales; Poaceae. The transcript has 4 exons.
AGGUGAGCAAAGCAAGGUCAGCAGCAGUGAUCACUCCGACGCACAAAAAUGGGCAAAGCAGUGCAUGCGGCGGAAACACUACUGCGGCACCGCACAGCACAGCAGUAUCCCCAUUCCCCUCUCCUGCUCCUCCUCCUCACCUUUCCCCUCCCCUCCCUUCCUUCCCCUGCCUCGGCGCCGCGCUGCCCUGGAUCCCCGGCCCCCUCCACACGGGAUCUUCCAAGAAAUAGUGUGGCAUACUGCUGUAGUAACUUUUGCUUCUCCUCUUCUAUGAUUAUCUCCGAUACUGAUAGGUGUAUUGGACUCCUCCUUCUCCAAUGGGCAUCGUGAAGGUGGCAGAUAGUAUGCUGGUAACGAAGAGCGUUUACAGCUGUGGAAAUGAGGACCUUACGCCAGAGGAGAGAUCGCUGCUUCAGACCUUUCCUGGUCAUGAAUCUGAUGACCGUGAACAUACAGAGGUCGGUUGCGAGCUUGCGAUGUCUGGAGGUCUAAUGUGCAAUGUUCCUUAUGAGCUGUAUGAUCUGCCUGAAUUGAAGGACAUACUUUCUCUGGAGACAUGGAACUUAUGUCUAACAGAAGAUGAUAGAUUCCGUCUAGCAGCCUACCUCCCGGACAUGAACCAACAUGACUUCUUUACAACAAUGAAUGAGCUGUUCAGUGGUAGUGAUAUGUUCUUUGGGAGUCCACUUAGAGGGUUUUUUGACAGACUAAAUGGUGGGUUUUAUUCCCCAGAAGUUUCUCAGGCAAGAGAAUUGCUGAUGAUGUUUCAAAGACGAAAGCAUUAUCAUUUUCUGAAAAUGUAUCAUGAUGGCAUGAUCUGGAAGUUUGCUUACAUGGACAAGCUGUGGAGAAAAAGUGGUACGAGUACCAGUCUCGAGGAGAAAGUUCACAUUUGGCACAGCUGGAUACAUCAGAAGCUUCUCACAUUUGCAGAUCCAAACAGUUCUCCUGUCAAUGCAAAUCUGUCAAUCGUUGGCAAGGCUGAAGCUGCCGGUUCUUCACUAUUGAAGCGAGCUAAACUUAUGGAUGUGACAGUGACUACUAAUUAUUCAGCCAAACACAAGGAAAUAGUCCAUAGAGCAGAAUCAAUGGAAAUGAGCUCAUCAAAAAGUCACAUGUUUCACCUUCCGAACGAGCCCAGUGAAAAAUGUAGUAAACUGCCAAAAGGUGUGCUGAAAAUAAGGACUGAAUGUGAGUCCCUUGCUUAUGGCAAUGCAAGAAUUCAUCAUGCAGCAGGAUUGAUACCACUCGAUCAGCUGCAAAUGCAGGUCUCUAGCUUUUCUCCUUAUGCUUCUGCACAGGAUGUACAUAGUUUUGCUGGGAAUUCAUCUUAUCCUUGUCACAUAAACACAAGCAGCAGUACUUGGGGCAAUUCAGGCUCAAAUCCAUUGCAGUGGCAGGAUGCAUCAGAAACUUAUCCUGUCUUGGUCAAAACUCCACUUGGAAUCCAAGCUACUGUUCUACAGGAGCUUGGAAGAGGCAGCCGCUCUGGGUAUCAUACGGCAGCUAAACAUACCUUAAGUUAUUCCAAUGAAGAAAAUGACACAAGAGAAUCCCCCCAUGAGAAGAACCUCUUGAAGAACUUUGGUCCACAGAAUGCCAUAAUUCCUGGAAGCUCUUUUGGCAUGUUCCCAACAACCAUUGUUGAUCAUCAAACGAGAUACUUAGACAGUCCAACAAAUGCUGAAAUUAUUUCUGAGAUGUUGACCCUUGGUACAAGCACAAACCCAUCUUACACCAACUUCUCAGAGCAGACUGAAUAUCAAGAUGGACCGAAGAUGAAGGCUCCUCCUGCCAUGGACUCUGUUACAAAAGUUGAAGACCACCAGUUCCCUUAUACAUACACAAGGAGGAAGCUGCACAGGGGGCUUGACCUUGUGGACCCUGUCAACAAACCAAGCAUGGUUGGUUCGGGGUCACCGAGUGUGCUUGCUAGCAUGGAAAAUGUAAAGGUGAAGGCAAUCAGGCUUUGAAGCUUGCAAUCAACAAACAAGGAGAUCUGAACAUAGAAAUGGGGAGCUGGGGACAGGAACGUUUUAGCAUCUAGCUGACAUAGUAAAUAAGUGUAAUCGUCGCUUUCUCUGCAACGCCAGAGGAUGAAGCCUGGAUAUGUACAAGUACAUGAAUAACAAUGUUUCGAAGUCGAGUGCUACAGACCACUUAUUAUUGUGAUAGUUGCUAGCAAAGUGUAUAUAUCAUUCCAUAGUAUCACGGGUGAAAUGCAGAACCAUUCGGCAGCUUUUAGGUCAAUGCACAUCAUUAUGCUAUGCCGAUCUUUCCUUUUUUCUAAUCUUACAUCUGGUCCGAUUUGCCCAUGGGUACGUUCUUUUGUAAAGAAUAACUGUUAAGGGAGAGAUAUUCCAAUGGCAGGCUCACAAGGGAAUACUAGUACCAAGUAUGGAGGGAAGGAGGAGGAGGAAGGGUUGGACAUGGAAGGUGGAGGAAGGGUUGGCGGAGAACGAGGCUAUUUCUUUAGCGGGCGCCAUGGACACGACAAAGCGUCUCUGGUGAGUCGGCGGUGCCAUGAUCUCGAGGUAAAGCCGCUUUCUCUUUAGUUGAACAGAUGUCUGAAAUUGUUAAUUAGGAUCUCUUUUCGCUCCAGAAAAUGGUUGAUGAAACUCCACUGUAUUUUAACUUGCAUUGUUCAAAAAUUCAGGUAAGCACCAUACCUCUGAUGCGAUUACGUCGAGCUGAAACCUGCAGAAAAGCACUAAUCUCUUAGUGGUCAUGUAGAGGGUUUUUUUCUUGUAAAGAAUUAAGCUUCCUGGGUUUAGUGCUCCUUGACGGAAUGAGACUCGGGCGUCAGAUACUAAGCUGUGUGUUGUAGGUUCAGGUUCAGGUUCGGGGGUAUUUAGAGCAUUAUUGCCAGUCUCGUAUGGGUUGCACAUUUUGGUGCCAAAUAUAUACUGCCUGUGGUUGGGGUGUUUAUGAUAUAAGUUGCGUACUUGUGCAUCACUUUAUUCAGAUAGUAUAAGUCUCAAUCCCAAAGGGGAAUAGUUUUGCGCUUCCUCCUUCGUCCACGGUAGUGCGCCUGUUCUCCGCCAGUUUCCUUUUUGCGUUUCCGCGUGCGGGCAUGGCCCUGGUGUCAGUGGCUGCGGAUGCAUGUUGAUCGGGCUGUCAGUGACUGCGGUCUCCUCUAGGCGGUGGUGGUCUGGCAUCGUGAGUUCUUGGAUCGUUCUUGUCGUGCGACGCGUUGUCGCCCAGGGUUCUUCUCGGCGCUUAGGUGUCCUGGCGUUCUUCCUGCGCGUCACGCUGGCGCGUCGGCAGUGAUCUGGGUUCUUCUCGGCACUUAGGUGUCCUGGCUACGCGUCAAUCUGCUGUGUGCUGGCUCCUGCGUGGCCCUGGCUAUAUAAACAGCUUGAGCUAUCGGGUUUCGGCAUCUCGAUUUCGAUUGUUGUAUCGAUUGGCCGCCGUUCGCCGUGGGCUGUUUUUCUUUGCCUGUUGGUGCUUCGUCUUCUGUUGUUCCUGGAUUGCGCCGCUGCGCCCUGACCUGGCUUUCUUUUUUGUCGCUGGCGGCUGCCCCUGCUUUGGUCGAUCGGAAAGGUAUGGCCGGUGUAGUUUCUUAUGUUGUUUAUGUGGCGGAUCAUUUGCUGGUAUAUCUGUGAUUGGACUGUAGUGCGUGCCCCCUGUGUGCUUUGCAGGUGGAGAAUUUGAAGGCGCUUCUUGAGGUGGAGGUAAGCAGGGCCUGCAGUUUCCUUUUUUUUUAGAUAAAGGCCUGCAGUUUCCUUGAGAGUUCUAUUCCAUGCUUUGCCUUGAUUGAUUAGACCUCAAUUGUUAGUUUUGUCUGUGUGUUGCUAGACUUGAGUGCCAUGCUGCUGCUUCACUUCAAUGGCAGGAGAUGAGCAAAGCUUAGAAUCUCAGCGCAAUAUGAGUCCAUGGUGCUGAUCUUGUAGUGAUGGUUUCCUCCGAUAUAUAAUAUAGAUCCGCUUGUUGUCCUCGCGUACAAGCAUAUGAUUUUGCAUGAUUUUUGCAAUGAACAAACUAGACAUUGUAGCACAAGAAUCUGAGAGUGAACAAGUACAUAAUAGAUGAGCACAGCGCUGCUAGGAGACGUUGAAUGGUUCUGGAUCGAUGCAGGCUCUUGACUGGGAUGUAUAGAUGCAGAUAUUCCGUGCUUGCAGUGUGGUACGAUGCCUCUACAAAGGUUGGGAUUCUGAUUGGCUUUUCUUUCUAUCUGGUAAGGUUUGGAUCCUUCAAUGAUUCAGCUCAUUCUCGAUAUUGAUCUUUGCUAUCAGAGUAGAGCAAUAUUAUCCAAAACUUUAUUUUGUAAGUGAAUUUCAGUGCUCAGGUGACACAGUUACUAGAGUUUGCGCAUCCAUCGUUGUUCAUCUUUGAUAGAAAUUAAGCUAUAACUAUAUGCACCAGGUCAUAUUCAGCCACCUUAAUUUAUAUGUUCUAAUACAGCAGCAGGCAUCACAGUACUAUCUGCUAGCUACGUAGUUGGUUCUCAAAUCUCAAUUGAUUCAACAUCUAAAUAUUACACUGUAUUUUGAUUUGCAUUCGGGGUUAUUAUUUCCAAUUGCUUGGGAUAACCCGACACCUCUUUUGGUAUUUCCACACACCAUGUGGAAUGCAACGUGAUGUUUCUUUAUUCUAAAGGAAACAAGAAUUCCGCAAACACAAUAGUAAGUCUAUAUUUUGGUGAAAGAAAUUAUGGCUUAUGUUGAUCUUUCACAACUAUGUUCUGCGUUCCCUGUGCUGAAAGUUUGGGUGCUCCUUAACUACUCCCUCCGAUCCUAAAUUGUUGUCGAAAUAUUACAUGUAUCUAGACACUUUUUAAGAAUAGAUACAUCCACAUUGGGCAAAUUUGAGUCAAGAAUUUAGGAUCAGAGGGAGUAAUAAUCAUGGUAGUGGUGAUUAAUAUAAAGGAACCGAUCUAAAAAGUGCAGCAAGAAAAUGUGAACAAUGCUUUGGAACUAAAAAAGCAGGCAGAUGAUUGAAAAUAGCACUGAAGACGUCGAUUUUAGUUUAAGUGGUUGUGUUCUUACUGGAUGGGUUAUUUGUAAACUGAAUUGGGCAGAAGGAUGUUUUGAUGUCAACAAGAAAUAUUUCAGAUGCAACAUAGAUUAAAAAAAAAUCAACAGACACUUUUCUCUUUGUUCCACUACAAGAUGUAGGCACCAGAAAAGUUGCCUUCUAAAACUUGGAUCAAAGAAGACUCAACGCAGUGAUGAUGGGAAACCUGUUGCAGUUAAAAAAUGUUCCUUAUCCAAGUUUCAGAUUCGGUGAGCUUCAAUGCCAACCUUAUUUUAAAUGUAUAAAUUCAGAGGACAUUGUUGACUUGUUUUUAUUUCCUAGAACUGUUCCCUUCACUCUUUUAAUUGCACCGUGGUUACGAUUCUGAGAUUUGUUUUUGAAAAUAAUUACGUUCUGAGAUCUAGCUGCUGAAAUCAUCUGUUGAGAUUGCAGUGUUGUCAUUAUUUACUUUACUGUUCACGUCGACUUUUAGCAGAGCUUACAUUUCAUAACUCCUUAUUGUGUGACUGCAGUUCUGGGACUAAUUUGCUGGUGCAACUGAGGUCCUGACUCAUGACCAACAAUCCAUCUAGCUCGAGCACUAAUUUGCCGAUGAACCUUGAGUGUUUGGGUGGUCCCAUUUUGAUCUUCUGUUUUACAGUGAUUGAGAGGCUCCUGAUGUGGUAUGCUAUAGGUUAUUUGCUUUAUAUGCACCAUAUGCUCAUAAAAGGUGAAAGCAGCAAACAAAUCUCUGUAAAUUUUCUAUGAUCUCUACUUUAAGGGUAACUAAAUAUAUCGACUGGUUCAUAUUUUAUCUCUAUUUUAAUUAUUAAAAGCACCAAUAAAGAUGCUAUGUUUAGAUUUUUCUGAAUGAAAAUGACCUGGAACUCUACUUCUCCCUCCGUUCCUAAAUACCUGUCGCUGUUUUAGUGCAAACUUGCAAGUUAGACAGCACUGACUCCCUUGAGCGGAUACAAUCACCCUUAACUCCCUUGAGCGGCAAGCUAGACAGCACUAACUCCAGCAAUUACAACAAAUUGGAUGAUUGUUGACAGGUAACAGUGUAGUACUAAUGGCAACCUGCUCAAAUGAAUUCAUGAAUUUAUUAUAGGUAUUUGUUGUAAUUGCAGUUUAGUUGUAUGGUAUUCUAUGGAAGAUGAUGUAGCUGUAGGUAUUCGUUGUAAAUUGCAGUUUAGAUGUAUGGCUCGAGGAGGUCCUGCAGCAGCUGAUUCUGGCCAAUCAGUCUACAAAUGGGCCCUUGCGAGCAAAGUAUAAUGCAAAAAACUCAAGGAAGAGGUAUCAUAUGAUCAAGAGGAAUUUGUAACAGUUGUUGCUUGUGCCGUGGUAUGGUUUAUCAGAAGAGUUCUCAUGCGUGGAAGGUUAUCAAUUUGUCAUUAUCUCUUCUUGUUUUCUCGACAAGUGUUGUCGACAUAGUCGAGCUGCCUUAAUUUGAUUUACUUGUUAUAUACGGAGUUGCUCCUAAAAUGCAACUUUUAUUCAUUUCCCAUGUAUAUAGAACUCACUUUUUCACUUGGAAUCUUUUUUAAGGAUGAGUGUAAUGGGGCAGUUCAAGUGUCA